RNAcentral lists this ribosomal RNA (511 nucleotides) under Vibrio anguillarum. RNAcentral's name for it is "bacterial SSU rRNA". It matches the Rfam family "Bacterial small subunit ribosomal RNA", at positions 855 to 1364 of the family's 1533-position model. Lineage: Bacteria; Pseudomonadati; Pseudomonadota; Gammaproteobacteria; Vibrionales; Vibrionaceae. The record is from RNAcentral.
ACGCGUUAAGUAGACCGCCUGGGGAGUACGGUCGCAAGAUUAAGACUCAAAUGAAUUGACGGGGGCCCGCACAAGCGGUGGAGCAUGUGGUUUAAUUCGAUGCANACGCGAAGAACCUUACCUACUCUUGACAUCCAGAGAAGCCAGCGGAGACGCAGGUGUGCCUUCGGGAACUCUGAGACAGGUGCUGCAUGGCUGUCGUCAGCUCGUGUUGUGAAAUGUUGGGUUAAGUCCCGCAACGAGCGCAACCCUUAUCCUUGUUUGCCAGCGAGUAAUGUCGGGAACUCCAGGGAGACUGCCGGUGAUAAACCGGAGGAAGGUGGGGACGACGUCAAGUCAUCAUGGCCCUUACGAGUAGGGCUACACACGUGCUACAAUGGCGCAUACAGAGGGCAGCAAGCUAGCGAUAGUGAGCGAAUCCCAAAAAGUGCGUCGUAGUCCGGAUUGGAGUCUGCAACUCGACUCCAUGAAGUCGGAAUCGCUAGUAAUCGUAGAUCAGAAUGCUACGGUG